This 434-nucleotide ribosomal RNA is filed under the name uncultured Ruminococcus sp. Its description in RNAcentral is "partial 16S ribosomal RNA". It matches the Rfam family "Bacterial small subunit ribosomal RNA", at positions 341 to 792 of the family's 1533-position model. The record is from RNAcentral. Lineage: Bacteria; Bacillati; Bacillota; Clostridia; Eubacteriales; Oscillospiraceae.
ACGGAAGGCAGCAGUGGGGGAUAUUGCACAAUGGAGGAAACUCUGAUGCAGCAACGCCGCGUGAAGGAAGAAGGCCUUCGGGUUGUAAACUUCUGUCCUUGGUGACGAUAAUGACGGUAGCCAAGGAGGAAGCCACGGCUAACUACGUGCCAGCAGCCGCGGUAAUACGUAGGUGGCAAGCGUUGUCCGGAAUUACUGGGUGUAAAGGGUGCGUAGGCGGCUCAUAAAGUCAGAUGUGAAAUGCCGGGGCUUAACUCCGGAGCUGCAUUUGAAACUUAUGGGCUUGAGUGAAGUAGAGGUAAGCGGAAUUCCUAGUGUAGCGGUGAAAUGCGUAGAUAUUAGGAGGAACAUCAGUGGCGAAGGCGGCUUACUGGGCUUUAACUGACGCUGAGGCUCGAAAGCGUGGGGAGCAAACAGGAUUAGAUACCCUGGUA